Molecule: ribosomal RNA, 500 nt
Filed under: uncultured bacterium
Lineage: Bacteria
Description: bacterial SSU rRNA
Rfam family: Bacterial small subunit ribosomal RNA
Source: RNAcentral
AUUGAACGCUGGCGGCGUGCCUAACACAUGCAAGUCGAGCGGCAGCGCGGGAGCAAUCCUGGCGGCGAGCGGCGGACGGGUGAGUAACGCUUGGGAAUCUGCCUGUUAGUGGGGGACAACCCGGGGAAACUCGGGCUAAUACCGCAUACGCACUACGGUGGAAAGCCGGGGACCGCAAGGCCUGGCGCUAACAGAUGAGCCCAAGUCGGAUUAGCUAGUUGGUAGGGUAACGGCCUACCAAGGCGACGAUCCGUAACUGGUCUGAGAGGACGACCAGUCACACCGGAACUGAGACACGGUCCGGACUCCUACGGGAGGCAGCAGUGGGGAAUAUUGGACAAUGGGGGAAACCCUGAUCCAGCGACGCCGCGUGGGUGAAGAAGGCCUGCGGGUUGUAAAGCCCUUUCAGUGGGGAAGAAAGCCUCGACCUAACACGUCGGGGUCUUGACGUAACCCAUAGAAGAAGCACCGGCUAACUCUGUGCCAGCCGCCGCAGUAAU